GACAGAGGGUGCAAACGUUGUUCGGAAUUACUGGGCGUAAAGCGCGUGUAGGCGGCCCGGAAAGUCGGAUGUGAAAGCCCUGGGCUUAACCUAGGAAGUGCAUUCGAAACUGCUGGGCUUGAGUUCUGGAGAGGAAGGCGGAAUUCUCGGUGUAGAGGUGAAAUGCGUAGAUAUCGAGAGGAACACCUGCGGCGAAGGCGGGUUGCUGGGCUGACACUGACGCUGAGGCGCGAAAGCCAGGGGAGCGAACGGG
This 253-nucleotide ribosomal RNA is filed under the name uncultured bacterium. Its description in RNAcentral is "partial 16S ribosomal RNA". It matches the Rfam family "Bacterial small subunit ribosomal RNA", at positions 524 to 776 of the family's 1533-position model. The record is from RNAcentral.